GAUUUCUAUAUACCCCGUCCGUCCCUGUAUACAUUAAUGUCCACAUUUUCGCGACAAAACGCAUUACGAGUAAGAUUGGUAAAGUCUCCUUUUUCAACUGAUUUUUAAAGUUCGUUCUUAUGUUGUACUGUUAUACCACUGUCCCUGUUAGGGGGAGAGUUGGGAUCCUGCUAACAUGUUUAACCCCGACACAUUAUUUAUGUAUGUGCCUGUCCCAAGUCAGGAGCCUAUAUUUCAGUGGUUGUCGUUUGUUUAUGUGUUACAUAUUUGUUUUUCGUUCACCUUUUUUUUUACAUUAAUAAGGCCGUUAGUUUUCUCGUUUGAAUUGUUUUACAUUGUCUUAUCAGGGCCUUUUAUAGCUGACUAUACGGUAUGGGCUUUGCUCAUUGUUGAAGGCCCUACGGUGACCUACAUGUAUAGUUGUUAAAAUUUCUGUUUCAUUUGGUCUCUUGAGGAGAGUUGUCUCAUCGGUAAUCAUACCACAUCUUCUCUUUUAUAUUUAUUCGUUUAUAUUGAAGGCCGUACGGUGACCUAUAGUUGUUAAUUUCUGUGUCAUUUUGGUCUUUUGUGGAUAGUUGUCUCAUUGGCAAUCAUACCACAUCUUCUUUUUUAUAUUAUGUUACAAGAUUAAAAAUGUUUUAAGUUGGCUCAAAGAAAUGUGACAAAGUUAAAUAGAACUAUCCCAAAUAGGCCAAAAUACAUGUACGAGAAUUUGGCGAAAUUUGAAGAAAAAAAAUAGGACCAGGAAAUAUAAAGUACAGGCAUUGACAAACCUAAUAUUCAAGUUAGACAUGUAAAAUGUCUUUACAAACAUCAUUUAAAAGAAAUAUUUUUACGACGUGUGCGUUCUAUGCUACCUUCCAAUAAUCAAUGGAAAAUAACCCAUUAUUAUUGAUUUUUUUUGGAAAUUUGAAAUGAGUGUCAUUUAUGACGUCAUGAAUAAAAGGCAGGAACUUAUAUUUUCAACAAAAGAGCUUAU
Molecule: long non-coding RNA, 979 nt
Filed under: Mytilus galloprovincialis (Mediterranean mussel)
Lineage: Eukaryota; Metazoa; Mollusca; Bivalvia; Mytilida; Mytilidae
Source: RNAcentral